ACUUUUCCGCGGCGGAGCGCAUGCGUGGCGGAGCCGUAACGAUUUCCCCCGGCAAGCUACUUGGCUCCUUCGGUUCCCCGUGCUAAACCUGUUAACUACAUUAGCGCAAAAUUAAUGUUACCUGAAGCAUAAAUUGAGCUGCUUGUAGUAUUCCCGUGGAGAAUAAGUGCGCUAAGGCUAUGGCUAGAACUAAAAGCAGAGCUUCUGCGUUUGGGCUAAACCUGGACUUUCUGAAUACAGAAGUUGCUGGUCUAGAGGUUGAAUCGGAGCUGCACCUGCUGGUCUGUGCCACAGCCACAGCCACACUGGAUCUGAGCCGCACCUGUGUUCUACACUGCAGCUUGCUGCAACACUGGAUCCUUAACCCACUGAGCAAGGCCAGUUUGAUGUGGGAUCAAACCCACAUCCUCGUGGAUACUAGUUCUUAACCCCAAUUAUAAUUCCUCCAAUUAUAAUUUUUAAUAAACAACUUAUUUAACUACCUG
Molecule: long non-coding RNA, 485 nt
Organism: Sus scrofa (pig)
Lineage: Eukaryota; Metazoa; Chordata; Mammalia; Artiodactyla; Suidae
Source: RefSeq, a predicted model, not a curated record